GGGUUGUGAGGUUAAGCGACUAAGCGUACACGGUGGAUGCCCUGGCAGUCAGAGGCGAUGAAGGGCGUGCUAAUCUGCGAUAAGCGCCGGUAAGGUGAUAUGAACCGUUAUAACCGGCGAUACCCGAAUGGGGAAACCCAGUGUGAUUCGUCACACUAUCAUUAACUGAAUCCAUAGGUUAAUGAGGCGAACCGGGGGAACUGAAACAUCUAAGUACCCCGAGGAAAAGAAAUCAACCGAGAUUCCCCCAGUAGCGGCGAGCGAACGGGGAGGAGCCCAGAGCCUGAAUCAGCAUGUGUGUUAGUGGAAGCGUCUGGAAAGGCGCGCGAUACAGGGUGACAGCCCCGUACACAAAAGCGCAUGUGCUGUGAGCUCGAUGAGUAGGGCGGGACACGUGGUAUCCUGUCUGAAUAUGGGGGGACCAUCCUCCAAGGCUAAAUACUCCUGACUGACCGAUAGUGAACCAGUACCGUGAGGGAAAGGCGAAAAGAACCCCGGCGAGGGGAGUGAAAAAGAACCUGAAACCGUGUACGUACAAGCAGUGGGAGCACCCUUUGGGUGUGACUGCGUACCUUUUGUAUAAUGGGUCAGCGACUUAUAUUCUGUAGCAAGGUUAACCGAAUAGGGGAGCCGGAGG
RNAcentral lists this ribosomal RNA (637 nucleotides) under Salmonella enterica subsp. enterica serovar Enteritidis. RNAcentral's name for it is "partial 23S ribosomal RNA". It matches the Rfam family "Bacterial large subunit ribosomal RNA", at positions 1 to 672 of the family's 2925-position model. The record is from RNAcentral. Lineage: Bacteria; Pseudomonadati; Pseudomonadota; Gammaproteobacteria; Enterobacterales; Enterobacteriaceae.